GACGAACGCUGGCGGCGUGCUUAACACAUGCAAGUCGAACGGAAAGGCCCUGCUUUUGUGGGGUGCUCGAGUGGCGAACGGGUGAGUAACACGUGAGUAACCUGCCCUUGACUUUGGGAUAACUUCAGGAAACUGGGGCUAAUACCGGAUAGGAGCUCCUGCUGCAUGGUGGGGGUUGGAAAGUUUCGGCGGUUGGGGAUGGACUCGCGGCUUAUCAGCUUGUUGGUGGGGUAGUGGCUUACCAAGGCUUUGACGGGUAGCCGGCCUGAGAGGGUGACCGGCCACAUGGGGACUGAGAUACGGCCCAGACUCCUACGGGAGGCAGCAGUGGGGAAUAUUGCACAAUGGGCGGAAGCCUGAUGCAGCAACGCCGCGUGCGGGAUGACGGCCUUCGGGUUGUAAACCGCUUUCGCCUGUGACGAGGCGUGAGUGACGGUAAUGGGUAAAGAAGCACCGGCUAACUACGUG
RNAcentral lists this ribosomal RNA (468 nucleotides) under uncultured bacterium. RNAcentral describes it as "partial 16S ribosomal RNA". It matches the Rfam family "Bacterial small subunit ribosomal RNA", at positions 28 to 507 of the family's 1533-position model. The record is from RNAcentral.